Molecule: RNA transcript, 2930 nt
Organism: Cydia splendana
Lineage: Eukaryota; Metazoa; Arthropoda; Insecta; Lepidoptera; Tortricidae
Exons: 7
Source: RefSeq, a predicted model, not a curated record
GCCAGUCCGCGGCCUAAACGUUCCGUCACACAGGCGCGUUUUUCGGGCGGGACGUGAGCGUUUUGUAUUAAAAGCGGCGCGUCCUGUGUCCUGUGUGACGAAGCCUUUAAUAGAGUUCCGUAGGUCUUAAUAGGGAAGCCUUAUAAUUUCGUCAUGUCUAUCCGUCCGUCUGUCUGUCUAUCGGUCUGUUAGUCUUUAUAAACCCCUGACGCAAAAAGAGGGGUAAUUAAAGUUUCACGUGUCUUGUGUCUGUCUGUGACAUCUAAACGGAUGGACCGCUUUUUUAAUCGAGAUGAUUCUUAGCUAAAUUGUAUCAAAAUCUGUUUAGCCUUUUUUGAGAUAUUGAAGUAAGUAUACAAGUACGUUCCCUACAGGUGGCAUUAAAAAAUCCUAAACUGUAUAAGUAACAAAUUGUUGUUUUCACACGUAACACUAAAUAUUCGAAACCUUUGUAAACAAACUUAGUUAUGCAGUUACCACAAAGCUUUCUCGGUAUUAAUUGUGUAUCCACUAUAUUGUCUUUAUUUAUUUUCUGAUUCUUAUUCAUAGGAAAUCGAUAUAACAACAAUUUUGAACGAUAAUAACCACGGUAAACUAGUUUUGGCACGUUUGAAAACGUGCAAGAAGCUCGACGCUACUUUUAGAUCCCAUCUAACCAAAAGUAUUGUUGAGUGGUACCUUAAGCAUUACGAAUGCAUGAAAUAGGAAGAUUUUAUGGUUAUAGCUGAAGCAAUUCAAGUCUUUAUUCCCACGGAAUUAAAGGAGACAUACUACAUACCUGGUUUGAAAUACAACAACAAAUAUAGACCUGCCAAAGGAAAACUGAUAGAUAGGUAUAAUAAUCAAAGGAGACUAUUAAAACGAGAAGGUGUUCUUGGCCGGAAAAGAAAACUUCAAAUUGAAAAUAUUGAUCAGGAACAUUCAGACAUUGAAGAAGACGAGGAAACCGUUAUAUGGCUUCAGUACAACAAAGAGCCGUUUCAAGAAGUAAAAGAUAAAUGGCUGCAAACUAGAAAAUAUCGCAUACAAACAGAUUACAAAAACUCCACCAAAAAUACCCCUUGUUAAAGCAGAGUUUUGGCUUUCAGCUUAUUGAGUUGGACUUUGAAUACAGCCAUCCUAAAAGGGACAUCUCACUGUUUGUGAAGUUUCCAGAGUUUUUAGAAAAAGCUAAUGCUGCUUUUAUUGGCGUGAAAGUAUUUCAAGAUUUGAAGAUCCUCUUCAACAACACAACACAAGAAGACACGAAAACAUUUAUUGCUUUGUCCCUACUUUGUGGGAAACUUGUCCCGACUGUCGGCAGAUCUGAUAAUAGAAGGAAAGAUAAAGACGAAAAGCGCUCGUCAAAGGAUUCGGCUGAACAAAAAAAAUAUAACAAACCGACCAUAUUAGAAUCACGUGACAGCUUGAUAUUGCAUGUGAAGACUCAGAGUGACAUUCAGAAUUGCCUUGCAACACGUCGGGAUAUCCACCUUAAGAAAGGACUCACAUGCCAACCAGUGGUAAUUUGCGUCGGGCCAGACGUCGAAAAUAUUACGGAGUUCUACGUCACUUACCAGCUGGAGUCUCUUUUAAAAGCUGUUGAAAUUUGCUUCAAAACCUUUCAUGUAUUUGAUAUAAAAUAUCCCCGCGAGAGUAUUCAGCCGUGGAUGUUCAUACAACGGUACUUUUAUGAAAUUCACACGCCACAAGAUCAUACAUUUCCGAGUGUUGCCACUUUAAUUGCAGAUUUAAUGUAAGUUACUAUCAAUGUUUCUUUAGUGAAAAUGACGUUUAAUUGCUUUAUCUGUAAUUCCGAGUUAAAAUCCCUGAAAGGUUUGUUUUUACAUUUUGACUUGAAACAUAUAGUGUACAUGCAGGUUCAUACAGGUUUACAUAUAAGUAGGAAUCAACUACCUCAUUUGGUACAAAAUUAUUAAUAUCUGCAAUUAAGGCGGCAUCACUCGGUUUAUGUUCUUCUCUCAAAACUCUGGCACUCUGCUUCAACAUUUAAUGUACCGUUAGAAAAUAGUACUGUUUUACAACUUUCAAACGCUAUCAUUUCUGUGUUUUAUAUAAAUUUUGGUAUAUAGGCGCCACUAUCUAUAGAGCAAUAGGGCACUUUUCAGCCGUCCUAAUAUAAGGAAAAAUAGGGGCUAUUCCCACUAGUUACCACCAAGCUGUUACCAGUGGUAACUACUGGGAUUUUUUUCUCCACCUUUUACCCUUUUUGUUAAAGUUCAAACCUAAUAAAAACAGUUAAAAUUGUAUCGUAUAAAUACAGAGUAGUUUAAUAAAUAAUGAUAUGUCCAUUAGUGUUCCAGUAAACUGCCUUAAAGUGAUAAAUAAUAGUUGGUUUUUAACUGAUUUGUAUGUUCGUCCGUAUAAUUAAUUCGAGUUACAAUUAAUAAGAUAAAUCUCAUUCAAGCGUUAAUUUCUCAUUGACUAUUUUAGUUUUUGCACUUGCACGGGUAAAACUGUUUUUAUUUUUAUUUUUAAUCACUUUUAAGGCAGUUCACUGAAACACUAAUCGGCUUAAGUAUAAUUAUUUAUUAAAGUACAAUAUACACAGCGUGUUUGGUACAUCGUUUGCCAAAUUAAAACGGCAGAUAGGUUGAGUCAUUUGCUAUCUUCUCAGGCCUAGAAAUGUUUAAUUUGGUGCAAAAAAAAUUCUUCCCUUCUAUGACAGUUUUUCGUACUUAAAUUUCAAAUUUUUACUUUCGUAGUUGUAAAAAAAACCAUGGCCAAUUUUGUUUUUCUAGGCAUGAGAACAUAGCAAAUGACUCAAGCUAUCUGCCGUUUUAAUUUGGCAAACGAUGUACCAAACACUCUGUAUAUACAACAGUAUAUACAGGAUGAUCAAUCCAAAUGGGUCAGUAUGGAGAAGUCAGAAACUAUAAGAGAUAGCGAAAUCUGUUCUUAGGAACCAUGGCUUCGAUUUUAGAUUUAAU